UCUAGCAUGGGGUAUGACGUAGGAUAUUUGUCUGAGGUGCGAGAAAUUGUUGUCUCAAAAUGACAAUAUUACAGGUUAUGCAACAACAGUUGUAUCAUAAAAAUAUGUAAACUUGAACUUAAAUGUUCAAAGAUCAUAAAACUGCAACACAUGUAGUUCUUCGGAAGCGGAGUAUAAACAAUAGCACAGGUGUUGUUGGGCACAUCCGGUAAGCUAACCAAGGACAGAUCCGUUUGCAAGUAAGUAUGAUUUACACAUCAAUAUUACUAUUACGUUCGAGAUCCUUACAUAUAAUGCAAUAUAUGCUGCAUUUAUUAUCACUGAGCUUGUCGAUCGCAGAUCGUCAGUUAUUUAUCGCUCCUAUAACACUUUUUAUGUUGUGUUUGCCUCGUGUUGAACCUGUCAGAUGUGCAUUUUCUCACGUGGUUACACGCAUUUGUUUCCAUUUGUUUGGGGUCCGCAAACUUUCUCGCUGUAUGGACAACAAGAGUAUAUGCAAAAUAAAAUCAUUUUAAUGUUUGACACAUUUCUUUCCAUGUAUGUUUGUAUCAUUAUUUGAUAUAUUGCCAUUUUAAUUUAUUUAUUCCCGAAAAAUAGCAUGUGUUAUAUAUUGUUUACCCCCUUCCAGUAGCCCCCGAAAAUGUAACUUGAGUAUAAAAGACUGUGCGUGACUGUUUGGAGACUCAUACACGUGUAGCACUUCAAAUUAGUCUUGGGAAAGAAACAAAGUCAAGUUUUAAAGUUUAAUUUAGCAACUGGAAGGCAUUUUGAAGUAAUUUACAUGUGUAUGUACUAGUAUAUCAUUUGUUUUCAGUUUGUACCCCAAGUGACCUGUGGUAACAGAAAUUCAUGUGUUAGGAAACCUGUGAGAACUGGCAACAAUAAAGAUGACAAAUACUACGGUGUCUAAAGCAACAGGAUCAGGUGAAAAAAGUUAACUUCCAGCUCAAAGUGUUCCCACAUCAAGAAGGCAUCAAGUUAAAAAUGCAACAAUGAUAGAACAGGUGACUUGAAUAAAGACAAAUGGUUAGAAGGCUAUGUGCUGGAAUAUGUUACAGGAAAAGAUGAGGAAAAUGGUGUAAUGGUAUUGUCCUUAUCGAGCCCGCCGAUACUGUACUAGUGUGUGUAAUCGAACGCACCUUUACUUUGUUGUGUGUAAUACAUCUCUAGAUGGGGCCAUGUACGAUGUAAAAUACAAAGGAAAAAAGCAAAAACCAUGGUGCAUAAUCUACAGCAAGACCUACAUAAUGGUGAUCUUAAAUUUGGGGAUAUUUAGGCAAUCCCACCUGUGUAUCCAAACCACCCUGCCAUUUAUCACAGCCUGCUGACCUAACCAGUAACAUGCUGAGUAACCCCUCAUACCAGAUGACAGAUACACUACACAUUACCCAUCGAAUCAGUUGGGCACUUGAGCGACUAGCCAACCAACCCAGUCAAAUCAUCAGACAGACAGCCAGUCAACCAAAUAACUUCUUCCUCUUCAUAUCCUGCAAGCCUUUUUAUAAAGAUCUGAUAACAGUCAGUCAAUGCUGCAACUAGUUCAGCCAUUGAUCUCUUUGAAAUCAUUUCUUUGGUAUAAGUGCAGACAACAGCAAACCAACACAACUUCCACAAAUAUCCCAGCCAACCAGUCAAAUAAAUAGCCUAAUCUGAGCUAGCUACUCAACCAAGUCGGACUAACCAGUAUCUCAAGCCCGACCUUGGCAGGAUUGUAUCUAAGUGGCCAGUCAUCAAACAAUUUUGUGUUCAAUAUUCUACUCAACAACCAACAAUUAUGGAAGUCAUAUACUUGAAAAGUUUCCAUGCAGCUAUAUUUAGCUCACCUGGCCCGAAGGACCAUGGUGAGCUUAUGCCAUACCGCAGCGUCCG
RNAcentral lists this long non-coding RNA (1869 nucleotides) under Mizuhopecten yessoensis (Yesso scallop). RNAcentral describes it as "uncharacterized LOC110447556". The record is from RNAcentral. Lineage: Eukaryota; Metazoa; Mollusca; Bivalvia; Pectinida; Pectinidae.